AAGCCAGGUCAUGAUACCAGAUAUACACAAGUCAAUAUACAAGCCAGGUCACGAUAGCAGAUACCCACGGGUCAAUAUACAAGCUGGGUCACGAUACCAGAUACCCACGGGUCAAUAGAUAAGCCGUGUCACAAUACCAGAUAUACACAGGUCAAUAUACAAGCCUGGUCACGAUAGCAGAUAUACACAAGUCAAUAUACAAGCCUGGUCACGAUAGCAGAUAUACACAAGUCAAUAUAAAAGCCAGGUCAUGUGUGUUCAGUGUGUGUGUGACUGUGUGUGUGUCUUGAAG
Non-coding RNA from Pelobates cultripes (western spadefoot toad), 292 nucleotides. The record is from the annotation of a GenBank genome assembly. NCBI's taxonomy places the organism in Eukaryota, Metazoa, Chordata, Amphibia, Anura, Pelobatidae.